Molecule: ribosomal RNA, 558 nt
Filed under: Triticum aestivum (bread wheat)
Lineage: Eukaryota; Viridiplantae; Streptophyta; Magnoliopsida; Poales; Poaceae
Description: partial small subunit ribosomal RNA
Source: RNAcentral
AUGUGUCACCUUCUGGAUCACAAGCGCGUGCUCCUUCAUGAUGUACUAGCAAUGCCAGAGGCUCGUCGACAUGGGCAUUGUUCCCCUCAGAAGUGUUUUUUGCUUCCUUUGAGAAACAGAGGCUGGGCAGCUAAGGAAUGGAUGCAUGGACAGCACGGUCCUGGACUGGGUGCCGGGAAUGCCCAAAGGCAUUUGCCUGAAAGACUUCCCGGACUUCAUCCUCACCGCGGACCCCGACGACGCCAUGCUCAAAGUCGUCAUGCGCUCAAUGGCGUGCCACACGACUACCCCGUCCGCCGUCAUCUUCCACACAUUCGACGAGAUCGACCGCGAGGCCAUCGCAACCAUGUCCACCUUCCUGCCAAAAAUCUACGCCGUCGCACCAUUGCCGCUCCUCCUCGGUCAAGCCUCUGGCACUGGCAGCGUGAGUUUUUUUUAGAAAAGGAGGAUGACCCCUGGCCUCUGUAUCUGGGUUAUGCAAUUUUGGAGUCAACAAAUCUGCUUAGUUAUCUGUAUAUCGGUCAGUCCCUGUCAUUGCUGAUUGUUUUGAGUCAUUAA